GAGUUUGAUCAUGGCUCAGAUUGAACGCUGGCGGUAGGCUUAACACAUGCAAGUCGUGCGAGAAAGUAUCUUCGGAUAUGAGUAGAGCGGCGGACGGGUGAGUAACGCGUAGGAAUCUACCUAGUAGAAGGGGAUAGCCCGGGGAAACUCGGAUUAAUACCGUAUACCUCCUUCGGGAGAAAGAAGGCCUCUCUUUGAAGCUUUCGCUAUUAGAUGAGCCUGCGUAAGAUUAGCUUGUUGGUGAGGUAAAGGCUCACCAAGGCGACGAUCUUUAGCGGGUCUGUGAGGACGAUCCGCCACAUUGGGACUGAGACACGGCCCAGACUCCUACGGGAGGCAGCAGUGGGGAAUAUUGGACAAUGGGCGCAAGCCUGAUCCAGCUAUACCGCGUGUGUGAAGAAGGCCCUAGGGUUGUAAAGCACUUUAAGUUGGGAAGAAAAGUUAUUGGUUAAUACCCAAUAACCGUGACAUUACCAUCAGAAUAAGGACCGGCUAAUUCCGUGCCAGCAGCCGCGGUAAUACGGAAGGUCCAAGCGUUAAUCGGAAUUACUGGGCGUAAAGCGCGCGUAGGUGGUUUAUUAAGUUGGAUGUGAAAUCCCCGGGCUCAACCUGGGAACUGCAUCCAAAACUGAUUCACUAGAGUACGAUAGAGGGAGGUAGAAUUCACAGUGUAGCGGUGGAAUGCGUAGAUAUUGUGAAGAAUACCAAUGGCGAAGGCAGCCUCCUGGAUCUGUACUGACACUGAGGUGCGAAAGCGUGGGUAGCGAACAGGAUUAGAUACCCUGGUAGUCCACACCGUAAACGAUGUCUACUAGCCGUUGGGGUACUUGAGACCUUAGUGGCGCAGUUAACGCGAUAAGUAGACCGCCUGGGGAGUACGGCCGCAAGGUUAAAACUCAAAUGAAUUGACGGGGGCCCGCACAAGCGGUGGAGCAUGUGGUUUAAUUCGAUGCAACGCGAAGAACCUUACCAGGUCUUGACAUCCUCGGAACUUUCCAGAGAUGGAUCGGUGCCUUCGGGAACCGAGUGACAGGUGCUGCAUGGCUGUCGUCAGCUCGUGUCGUGAGAUGUUGGGUUAAGUCCCGUAACGAGCGCAACCCUUGUCCCUAGUUGCCAGCACUUCGGGUGGGAACUCUAGGGAGACUGCCGGUGACAAACCGGAGGAAGGUGGGGACGACGCCAAGUCAUCAUGGCCCUUACGACCUGGGCUACACACGUGCUACAAUGGGGCGUACAAAGGGCUGCAAAAGCGCGAGCUGGAGCCAAUCCCAUAAAACGUCUCGUAGUCCGGAUUGGAGUCUGCAACUCGACUCCAUGAAGUCGGAAUCGCUAGUAUCGCGAAUCAGAAUGUCGCGGUGAAUACGUUCCCGGGCCUUGUACACACCGCCCGUCACACCAUGGGAGUGGGUUGCUCCAGAAGUGGUUAGCCUAACCUUCGGGGGGGCGAUCACCACGGAGUGAUUCAUGACUGGGGUGAAGUCGUAACAAGGUAACC
Molecule: ribosomal RNA, 1495 nt
Filed under: uncultured marine bacterium
Lineage: Bacteria
Description: bacterial SSU rRNA
Rfam family: Bacterial small subunit ribosomal RNA
Source: RNAcentral